Molecule: ribosomal RNA, 468 nt
Filed under: uncultured bacterium
Lineage: Bacteria
Description: partial 16S ribosomal RNA
Rfam family: Bacterial small subunit ribosomal RNA
Source: RNAcentral
GACGAACGCUGGCGGCGUGCUUAACACAUGCAAGUCGAACGGAAAGGCCCUGCUUGUUUGGGGUGCUCGGGUGGCGAACGUGUGAGUAACACGUGAGUAACCUGCCCUUGACUUUGGGAUGACUUCAGGAAACUGGGGCUAAUACCGGAUAGGAGCUCCUGCUGCAUGGUGGGGGUUGGAAAGUUUCGGCGGUUGGGGAUGGACUCGCGGCUUAUCAGCUUGUUGGUGGGGUAGUGGCUUACCAAGGCUUUGGCGGGUAGCCGGCCGGAGAGGGUGACCGGCCACAUUGGGACUGAGAUGCGGCCCAGACUCCUACGGGAGGCAGGAGUGGGGAAUAGUGCACAAUGGGCGGAAGCCUGAUGCAGCAACGCCGCGUGGGGGAUGACGGCCUUCGGUUUGUAAACCGCUUUCGCCUGUGACGAAGCGUGAGUGACGGUAAUGGGUAAAGAAGCACCGGCUAACUACGUG